RNAcentral lists this transfer RNA (72 nucleotides) under Camelus bactrianus (Bactrian camel). It matches the Rfam family "tRNA". From Rfam's summary of the family: Transfer RNA (tRNA) molecules are approximately 80 nucleotides in length. The record is from Rfam by way of RNAcentral. Lineage: Eukaryota; Metazoa; Chordata; Mammalia; Artiodactyla; Camelidae. RNAcentral also lists the same sequence under 3 other names.
GAGGGUAUAGCUCAGUGGUAGAGUGCAUGCUUAGCAUGCACGAAGUCCUGGGUUCAAACUCCAGUACCUUUG